This 216-nucleotide ribosomal RNA is filed under the name uncultured bacterium. RNAcentral's name for it is "partial 16S ribosomal RNA". It matches the Rfam family "Bacterial small subunit ribosomal RNA", at positions 328 to 529 of the family's 1533-position model. The record is from RNAcentral.
ACGCUCGACACCUACGGGAGCAGCAGUGAGGAAUAUUGGUCAAUGGGCGCUAGCCUGAACCAGCCAAGUAGCGUGAAGGAUGAAGGCUCUAUGGGUCGUAAACUUCUUUUAUAUAAGAAUAAAGUGCAGUAUGUAUACUGUUUUGUAUGUAUUAUAUGAAUAAGGAUCGGCUAACUCCGUGCCAGCACGCCGACGUAUCUGAGGCGGNGNGACGAG